RNAcentral lists this ribosomal RNA (460 nucleotides) under uncultured bacterium. RNAcentral's name for it is "partial 16S ribosomal RNA". It matches the Rfam family "Bacterial small subunit ribosomal RNA", at positions 338 to 795 of the family's 1533-position model. The record is from RNAcentral.
CCUACGGGAGGCAGCAGUGAGGAAUAUUGGUCAAUGGACGAAAGUCUGAACCAGCCAAGUCGCGUGAAGGAUGACUGCCCUAUGGGUUGUAAACUUCUUUUAUAAAGGAAUAAAACGAGGCACGUGUUCCUUUUUGCAUGUACUUUAUGAAUAAGGAUCGGCUAACUCCGUGCCAGCAGCCGCGGUAAUACGGAGGAUGCGAGCGUUAUCCGGAUUUAUUGGGUGUAAAGGGAGCGUAGAUGGGUUGUUAAGUCAGUUGUGAAAGUUAGGGGCUCAACCGUAAAAUUGCAAUUGAUACUGGCAGUCUUGAGUACAGUUGAGGUAGGCGGAAUUCGUGGUGUAGCGGUGAAAUGCUUAGAUAUCACGAAGAACCCCGAUUGCGAAGGCAGCUUACUAAACUGUGACUGACAUUGAUGCUCGAAAGUGUGGGUAGCAAACAGGAUUAGAUACCCGUGUAGUC